This 377-nucleotide ribosomal RNA is filed under the name uncultured bacterium. Its description in RNAcentral is "bacterial SSU rRNA". It matches the Rfam family "Bacterial small subunit ribosomal RNA", at positions 523 to 898 of the family's 1533-position model. The record is from RNAcentral.
AUACGUAGGGGGCGAGCGUUGUCCGGAAUUACUGGGCGUAAAGGGUGCGUAGGCGGCCAAAUAAGUCAGAUGUGAAAUACCAGGGCUUAACCCUGGGGGUGCAUAUGAAACUGUAUGGCUUGAGUGCAGGAGAGGGAAGUGGAAUUCCUAGUGUAGCGGUGAAAUGCGUAGAGAUUAGGAAGAACACCAGUGGCGAAGGCGGCUUUCUGGACUGUAACUGACGCUGAGGCACGAAAGCGUGGGUAGCGAACAGGAUUAGAUACCCUGGUAGUCCACGCCGUAAACGAUGGAUACUAGGUGUAGGGGGUAUCGACCCCCCCUGUGCCGGAGUUAACGCAAUAAGUAUCCCGCCUGGGGAGUACGGCCGCAAGGUUGAA